Ceratotherium simum simum (southern white rhinoceros) is the source of this 465-nucleotide non-coding RNA. NCBI's taxonomy places the organism in Eukaryota, Metazoa, Chordata, Mammalia, Perissodactyla, Rhinocerotidae. The record is from RefSeq and is a predicted model, not a curated record.
UCGGCAGCUGACCGUCUGGGGUCUCGGGCGGGGGGGGGCUGCAGUUUUUCCCGGCUUGGAGCAAGUGUGCGGGGCCGGGAGGAGAGCCAGGGGGAAGCGGGCCGGGCCUGGGGCUGCGGCUGCGGCCGCGGGGCUGCGGCUCCCCAGCCCCGCCAGCCGGAGCGUUCGGAGGUAGAGGAAAGGUCUUGACAGGGUGGCUGGACCAGUGGCAGACUCAAAUCCAGGUCAAGUGUAUGGCUGUCUGAGGUGUUGGAACAGAAGGAGGUCCAUUCCUGUUGGUGACAACACUGUGGCCCUGUUCUGGGAUGACCGAGGUGUAAAGGUUUCCCCCAAGAGAGAGCAGCCGACUCCUUGCAUCUUGUGGCAGCUGGUGUGCCCAGCACUGAGUCCAUCGGAGCUGAAGGCAGCCUGGCCCCUUCUCAUGGGCAGCGCCCACCUGUGCUGAAGUCCUACAGCGGUGGCAGU